UCCUUUUUAGUAUAUUUUGUGAGUAUAAUUAACUUCGGAUUAAUAGGACCUAAGAGGAGGGAAAAGGGG
This 69-nucleotide transfer RNA is filed under the name Coloceras sp. SLC-2005. RNAcentral's name for it is "tRNA-Arg". RNAcentral also lists the same sequence under 1 other name. Lineage: Eukaryota; Metazoa; Arthropoda; Insecta; Psocodea; Philopteridae. The record is from RNAcentral.